RNAcentral lists this ribosomal RNA (427 nucleotides) under uncultured bacterium. Its description in RNAcentral is "partial 16S ribosomal RNA". It matches the Rfam family "Bacterial small subunit ribosomal RNA", at positions 355 to 774 of the family's 1533-position model. The record is from RNAcentral.
UGGGGAAUAUUGCACAAUGGGCACAAGCCUGAUGCAGCCAUGCCGCGUGUGUGAAGAAGGCCUUCGGGUUGUAAAGCACUUUCAGCGAGGAGGAAGGGUAGUGUGUUAAUAGCACAUUGCAUUGACGUUACUCGCAGAAGAAGCACCGGCUAACUCCGUGCCAGCAGCCGCGGUAAUACGGAGGGUGCAAGCGUUAAUCGGAAUUACUGGGCGUAAAGCGCACGCAGGCGGUUUGUUAAGUCAGAUGUGAAAUCCCCGCGCUUAACGUGGGAACUGCAUUUGAAACUGGCAAGCUAGAGUCUUGUAGAGGGGGGUAGAAUUCCAGGUGUAGCGGUGAAAUGCGUAGAGAUCUGGAGGAAUACCGGUGGCGAAGGCGGCCCCCUGGACAAAGACUGACGCUCAGGUGCGAAAGCGUGGGGAGCAAACA